CAUUUCUCAUUUUUCAAACAUUUGUCGCGGCCUCCUGCCUGGGUGCCAGGAGCUCUCUUAACAGUUUUUUCCCCGUUUCGAAGGCCCUCCUCACUUCUUAGACCCACUGAGGAGACCCUUCUGGUCUUGCCGCCCCGAUUGUUUGAGCAUCUUAUUACCAGUCUGGAUCCUAAGUUGUGUCCAACUCUUUUGCAACCCAUGGAAUGUAGACCGCCAGGCUCCUCUGUCCAUAGGAUUUCCCAGGCAAGAAAAGAAUAGGACAGCUGGGGCUCAAGGUGAGGCAGUGACGUGUCCAAGGUCACAAACGAGCACCGAAGCAAGUUCUAUGACCCAGGCACAGUGAGAGUUUCCUUCUGCUGCCACGUGGAGGCUGGAUUUUAGCUCAACGUUGGUUGCGUCAUGCUGCCACAGGCAAGUCUUCCCUAGACGCUGGCAUGCAGAAAUGGGGAAAGACCUAUGUGAUCCUGCCAAUAGGAUCGAAAUGAGCUCCUGAGCGAAAUCCUAAAGGAUGGGGAAGAAUCAGCUUAAGCAGUGGGCAAGACAGGGCUUUUUUAGUCCGUGGGACAAACAAGCACCCAAAUCCCCAAGGCACAAGCAAUUCAGUGCCAGCAGGAUGUCAAGUGGGGGGUGGGAAGCAGC
This is a long non-coding RNA of Ovis aries (sheep), 639 nucleotides long. Lineage: Eukaryota; Metazoa; Chordata; Mammalia; Artiodactyla; Bovidae. The record is from Ensembl.